This is a long non-coding RNA of Antechinus flavipes (yellow-footed antechinus), 415 nucleotides long. RefSeq lists it as uncharacterized. The transcript is spliced from 3 exons. Lineage: Eukaryota; Metazoa; Chordata; Mammalia; Dasyuromorphia; Dasyuridae. The record is from RefSeq and is a predicted model, not a curated record.
AAGAAAAUGAGAAAAACUCAAACCAGACCUGAAUAGCCAGCCAGCCAAAUACAGUAGCUUCCAGAUAGUGGGAUGAACACUUCCACCCAGCUGUGGAAGAACAAGAAGUGAUUGAUGGAAAUUUCAAAGAAGUUUUAGACCUGAUAUGAGGAAAGGCAACCAAACAAUCAGAAUUGUCCAAAAGUGGAAGGGGUUUUCAACUUGUAGGUUUCCUCUCACUAGGAAUCUUCAGGCAGAAAAUGGAUGGUCAUUUGUCAAUGAUACUAUUGGAAGCUUUCUUCAGAAACCAGAAGCCUGUGGGUUGUUCAGUGUCUGAAGGACAUUGUUGAUGGAGGAGAUUACCCAGAUGCCUAGGGGUUCAUGCUUUUCAAUCCUGUUUGAGAAACCCCACCCAGCUAGAGAAUCUUAUAAAAAU